RNAcentral lists this long non-coding RNA (1366 nucleotides) under Parus major (Great Tit). RNAcentral's name for it is "lncRNA (ENSPMJG00000010565.1)". The record is from RNAcentral. Lineage: Eukaryota; Metazoa; Chordata; Aves; Passeriformes; Paridae.
AGUUUAUUAAGGAAGAAAAACUCUUGGCAAAGUUGGAUGUUGAGGCAGCAGAAAAGAAAAAGAUCCUAAAGAGAAAGCUGAAGGAAUAAUUACUGGAAAGAAUAGCGAAUGAAAAAUUAAACUUGUAGAAGAUAAAAGGAUUGAGAAGACAUAAUUUUGAUCAGUAAUAAAAACAGCACCAUGAGGAUCUAAGCUCCCCACACUGGGGAUGUGAGAGCUCUGUUCUCCACCAUGGCCAGACCAUAAAUCCGAGUGCGCAGUGCAGCAUCCAUGAACGAUUUCCUGUUCCAGCAACUCUGUGGGACAAACUUGCAGAAGUUUCUACACAAAGAAACAGAAAUCACUCAAGCCUUUAUGCUCAUGGAUUAUGUUUCUCUGGGCCCUUCAAGUGCACUCCACAAGUACCCACAAGAAGGUUGUAAAAAGCUGGGGGUCAGUCUCUUCACCCAGGUAACAAGUGAUAGAACAAGAGGAAGCUUUAGCUUGUGCAAGAGGAGCUUUUAUUGGCUAUUAGGAAAAAAAAAAAUUCAUGGAAAAUGUCAAGCCCUGGAAAGGACUUCCCAGGGAAGUAGUUGAGUCAGCACCCCGAAGAUAUUUGAAAAUGAUGUAGAUAUGACUCUCAGGGACAUGGUUUAGUCUUGGACUUGGCAGUGCUGGGUUAAUUGUUGGACUUGAUCAUCCUAGAAGUAAUUUCCAACACAAAUACUUUUAUUAUUCAAUGAUAAGGAAAAUAUUUGUUUCAUCAGUUUCAUUAUGGUAUUUCGAGGGACCAAAAUCACUUCAGUCAAUAGAAUACUGUUGAAGACAUAGGUCUUUGUUUUGCAGUAUAUUUUCUGUCAGUGCAAGUGUAUUGGUGGCAUGAGGAGAAAGGCAAUGAACUGAACGUGUUUCGUGAUGAGGAGGAAAAAAAAGAGAAAAUAUAGUAUUUCUAUGUUUUUAUCCAUCCACCUGAUGUUUUGAAUGAUUGUAUUGACAGUGUUUAUCUUUGAGAAGAGGAAUAGCUGAUCUCAUUAUAAAGUAAAAAAAUAAUUAAGGAUAUAGAAAUGGUGUAAUUAGUAUCUUUUGCCUUGUCUCAUUUUCAAAUAGCAGGCAAAUAUUGUGUCACUUUCACAGGUAGCACAAGAAAGGCAGAGAGUAAGAAAUAACCUUUUCUCACAGAAUAUGUAGAGCCUGUGAAAGUCUCUGACAGAUGGCAUUGAAGAGGUUAUCUGGAUUUGGAAAUGGAAGUAGAAGUUCAGUAACAAAAACAUCUACCAUUAGAAAAAAAUACACAUUUACUAUAACUGAGUUUGGAAAUAUCUUCCUUUUGGCUUCAUCGUGUUGUUCAGCCAAUAAAUAAUACAACCAAAGGAAUUAUUUGUUAAAA